AAAGAGACAGACACUAAAUCACUGCACUUUUGACAAUUCCUCUCUUCUCUCCCACCACCCAUCCUCCCCCACCUACACCGAUCAGAUCUUUGUGGUGGACUUAAGACUUUAAGACUUUUGUUGCUGUUUCCAUGAGCCUGGGGAGAGGCUCCUGUGUACCUCGUGGGGGUACUUUUGGAGCCCAUGGAACAGACUUACGGCGUAUGACCUCAUCGGAGACUUGUACAUGGGGCCAACCCCCAUUUUCCCACAGGAAACCCACACUCUAAUUAAGGGCUGACCCUGAACUUGAAUCUGAGUCUUCUCUUUCUUCAACAGAGAGCCAUCUCUCCAGCCCAGCUGGCAAGGAGACAGGUGAUGUUACAGGAAAAAAUACACAGCUUGUGCCCUUGGAAUUACCAGAGUUCAAAGCCUGUUCAGCAUCUACCCACCAUGUGACCCGGGUCGAAUUCUUCAGUUUCUCUAAGCCCAUUUUCUCAUCUGUAAGAUGGGGAAGUGUAAUCAGUUCUGAACCCACAUAUACCUCACUGGGCUUGAACAGGCCUGAGCAGGCAUGUGGGGCUUUACUAGCUAGCCAUCCUUUCUGCCGCUCUCCCUCAUUCUCCUUCAAGCCCCCCAAAGUCCUUGGUGGAGGAGGAAGUGGAGACAGAACGUUUGGUGUUGGGUGAGGUACGUGAGGAGGCUGAUUUCAGAACCUCCAGGAAACAAAGCUUUAGUGUUCCGAGGGCAGUGCCCGCCUGUGCCUCCUCCUCACAGGGGGUAGUAGGAGUGGGGUGGGGCCGAGGCAUUUCCCAGCACAGCUCAAUCACAUCUCCUGCGCCUGCCCUUGUGACCUGCUCACUGGAAAGGAAGAAAUGACCGAGGGAGAAGGGAGGGCAUUUGAGGGGAGAAGAAGAGGAUGGAGAAAAAAACUGGAUCAUCUCGUGACAUGGAAAGAAAGGUCUGAGCUCUGACGAUCCCCUCACGUGAUUAUAGGCAUGAGGACUCACUCUUCGAAUUGUUUGAAAAUUGAAUGGACUGGCUCACACCUUCUGAAAUUUCUUGGAAGCUCUGGAGUAACUAUUCCACUAAAGAACAGCGUGUUUUUGGCUGAAAUCUGUGACUGUUUGUUUUUGAGUUAUUUUAAUCUCUGUGUCAAGCAUGAAAACCUCAGCAGCCUGGGAUUUAUAAUUAGAUCCCACUGGCAUGCCCUCUCACCUCUCAAACAUGCCACAGUGCUUUGGCUCUCUCCUUGUGCAAACCUCCCUUUGAUAUUUUUGGAUAUCGAUACCAAGUGUAUCUGCAUAUUUUAACCAACUGAUAUGCAUAUCCUGUGAUCUGAGGCAUUCGCUCAAUGUGGGGCAUCAGGCCAGCUGUGAACUUCCUUUAAAAUUUAUUUUGUGUCAAAUGAUUCCCUAAUGCUAUAGCUCCCUUGAACUGCUAGAUUUAUGAAAAUUCUGCACAACACAUAGCUCAGAGAAAAAAAAAAAAGAGUGUUGCAAGACCAGAUAUAGGAUAUCAUUUGAUUUGUUUAAAACACUCUGUCCAGGGGGUUUUGACUUGCUAAUUUAAAAAUAAUUCUAAAAUUAGGUACAGUUGACCCUUAGUAUCCAUGGGGGAUUGGUUCCAGGAUGCCCUGUGGAUACCAGAAUCCAAGGAUGCUCAAGUUCCUGACAUAAAUGGCUUAGUGUUUGCAUAUAACCUACUCCCCUCUUCCUAUAUACUUUAAAUAAUCUCUAGAUUACUUAUAAUGCCUAACACAACGCCUGUGCAUCACUUCAUUCAUGUGGAUUCAAUGUAGUACUUGGUGUGAAGAAAAUUUAAGUCUUGCUUUUUGGAACUUUGUGGAUUUUUUUUUCUGGAAUGUUUUUGAUCUGCAGUUGGUUGAAUCCACAGGUGCAGAACUAUGGACACAGGGGGCUGACUAUGUAUAUUUAUAUCCACUUGCAAAAUUAAGAAUAAAAAUAAUGUGCAUCAGC
Homo sapiens (human) is the source of this 1958-nucleotide long non-coding RNA. Ensembl annotates it as long intergenic non-protein coding RNA 511. Lineage: Eukaryota; Metazoa; Chordata; Mammalia; Primates; Hominidae. The record is from Ensembl.